AUUUCCGCUUCGACCGGAAGUCACAUCCUAGCUUCAACAUGGUUCCCCCCGUUGCAGUGUCGCCGCUCAUCAAGACGGCCAGAUGGUCUGCCCUGCUACUCGGCGUGAUCUACGGCAAACAGCGAUUUGAUUACCUGAAGCCCAUUGCUGAGGAGGAGAGGAGGGUUGAGGAAGCGGAGAAGAAGGCCAGAGAGGAGCAGGAACGCAUCUACAAACAACUCUCUGAAGCAAAUUCUGACACCAUCCUCAAAUGAACCAUUUCCUGACUUAUGUUGCUGAACAAUAAAUAUUUCUAAUGUAAUCAA
Long non-coding RNA from Neolamprologus brichardi, 305 nucleotides. RefSeq lists it as uncharacterized. Lineage: Eukaryota; Metazoa; Chordata; Actinopteri; Cichliformes; Cichlidae. The record is from RefSeq and is a predicted model, not a curated record.